Molecule: non-coding RNA, 74 nt
Organism: Ameiurus melas (black bullhead)
Lineage: Eukaryota; Metazoa; Chordata; Actinopteri; Siluriformes; Ictaluridae
Source: the annotation of a GenBank genome assembly
GGCAGUUGUAGCUCAGUGGGUAAGACGUUGCACUAUCGAUCGGAAGGUCGUGAGUCCAAAUCCCAGCACUGCCA